Long non-coding RNA from Cucurbita moschata (crookneck pumpkin), 1515 nucleotides. RefSeq lists it as uncharacterized. Lineage: Eukaryota; Viridiplantae; Streptophyta; Magnoliopsida; Cucurbitales; Cucurbitaceae. The record is from RefSeq and is a predicted model, not a curated record. The transcript is spliced from 3 exons.
CACAUGAUGGAGUUUUCCUACUGCAAUAGUUAUCAAGCAACGAUUGGGGUAUAACACCUUUGGAAGCUCCUUAUAGAAGAAGGUGAAAGUCCUCUAUUUAUUAGGACGAGGAGAACACAAGUUGUUGGAACUUAAGUUGGUCAAAGUCAAGAAUGAAUCAAUCCAAAGGAUUAGAGCUAGGAUGCAAAUUGCACAAGUAGGCAAAAGAGUUGCACAGACAAAAGGCAAAGGGAUUUGAAUCUUGCAGUUGGUGGGCAUAUGUUCCUAAAGGUAGCUCCAAUGAAAGGAGCGUUGAGGUUGGGAAGGAAGUGGAAGCUAAGCUCAUGAUUUGUUAGGUUUCUUGAUAUCUUGGAAUGGAUCGGCCUUGUGGGUUAUCAUUUAGCUUUGUCGUUACCUCUUGCUAUAGUCCAUGAUGUAUUCCAUGUUUCCAUAUUGCAUAAGUAUAUGGAAAAUUCAUCCCAUGUAAUUGAUUGAGAACCACAAUGCUCGGAUGAGAGUUUGAGUCAUGUGAAAAGGUCCAUACAGAUUCUUGCAAGAGAUCAGAAGGUUCUACUUAACCGAUUGAUAGCCCUAGUCAAAGUCAUUUGGUAGAGCCACCAGUUCGAAGAAGCGAGUUGGGAGUGAGAGGACAAAAUGAGAGGCAACUAUUGAGAGCUUUUUUAAGGAUUGAGAACUUUCAAAGACGAAACUUCAUAAGGGGGGACGAAUGUAAUGUACAUGGAAAAGAAAAAGAAAAAAGAAAAAAAAAAAAAAGCUUAUUUAAGUCGUACAUAAUCCUAGGAGUCGGUUCAGUUUCAUCCCCAACUUGGCAGCACAACUCCCUGCCUCAACUCUCUCUUACUUGCCCGAUCUCUUUCGUGUUUGGCUGGUUUAGGUCAAGCGAGGGAUCAUCCACUCUCAGACGCACUUUCGCCUGCACCAUCGUCCUCUCAUUUUUGCUUCUUAUUCGUUCUGACAGUUUUUCAAUGUUGAUUGGUUGGAAGUUGCAGUUUAGGUGAGUUUUCUUGUUUUUGUUAGAUUCAUGUGAUUUUGUUGGUAUUUUAAGCAUAACUUACGAAUUUUUGGGUCCCAUUAUAGGAAAUGCACAACAUUUGGACACUUGAACAACAUUGGUGGUUAGUUGAAGAGAAACCAGCAAGGAUUCAAACUCUUUCAAGGUUGUCCCGUCCCACACAUGCACCACAGUUUGUACCAUUUAGGAAUAGAUGGUGCAUAAAUCUACAAGGGGUGUGGCAAUGACAUCCAGUCUAAAGGCCAUGGUGAGGGACAAGCUAAACAUCAUGUUACUUGCACAUGCUCAGCGUUGCAGUAAACCACUCUCAACGCUUACAACAUGCGCGCUAAAAAAAUUUCAUUAAUAGCGUCUCAAUGCCACUUCCAAUAAUAGUUGGCUUGUGUAUGCUUUAUGGUUUUUUCAAAUAUUACUUGCAUGAUAGACUCUAGAAUAAAAGAAACAAAAUUAAUUAGGGGUAAACAUCUCACAUAUUCAAAUUUGUUUGUGUACCCUCCCCUGCU